GACGAACGCUGGCGGCGUGCUUAACACAUGCAAGUCGAACGGAAAGGCCCUGCUUUUGUGGGGUGCUCGAGUGGCGAACGGGUGAGUAACACGUGAGUAACCUGCCCUUGACUUUGGGAUAACUUCAGGAAACUGGGGCUAAUACCGGAUAGGAGCUCCUGCUGCAUGGUGGGGGUUGGAAAGUUUCGGCGGUUGGGGAUGGACUCGCGGCUUAUCAGCUUGUUGGUGGGGUAGUGGCUUACCAAGGCUUUGACGGGUAGCCGGCCUGAGAGGGUGACCGGCCACAUUGGGACUGAGAACGCGCCCAAGCUCAAUGGGGGGGGAAGGGGGGGGAAUUUUGCAAAAGGGGCGGAAGCCGGGUGCAGAAACGCCGGGGGGGGGGAGGGGGCCUUCGGGUUGAAAACCGCUUUCGCCUGUAGCAAAGGGUGGGGGAGGGAAAUGGGUAAAAAAGCCCCGGCAAACUACGG
This 467-nucleotide ribosomal RNA is filed under the name uncultured bacterium. RNAcentral's name for it is "partial 16S ribosomal RNA". It matches the Rfam family "Bacterial small subunit ribosomal RNA", at positions 28 to 506 of the family's 1533-position model. The record is from RNAcentral.